Molecule: ribosomal RNA, 269 nt
Filed under: uncultured prokaryote
Description: partial 16S ribosomal RNA
Rfam family: Bacterial small subunit ribosomal RNA
Source: RNAcentral
UACGGAGACUGCGAGCGUUACUCGGAUUUACUGGGCGUAAAGGGUCCGUAGGCGGCCAUGUGUGUCGGGUGUGAAAUCCUGCAGCUCAACUGCAGAACUGCGCUCGAAACUACAUGACUAGAGUAUCGGAGAGGUGAGCAGAAUUCCUGGUGUAGCGGUGAAAUGCGUAGAUAUCAGGAGGAAUACCAACGGCGAAGGCAGCUCACUGGACGAUUACUGACGCUGAGGGACGAAAGCGUGGGGAGCGAAAGGGAUUAGAUACCCCCGUA